CGCGUAGGCGGUCUGGUAAGUCCCGUGUGAAAUCCCUCGGCUCAACUGAGGAAUGGCACGGGAAACUGCUUGGCUUGAGUUCGGGAGAGGGAAGCGGAAUUCCGGGUGUAGCGGUGAAAUGCGUAGAUAUCCGGAGGAACACCGGUGGCGAAGGCGGCUUCCUGGACCGACACUGACGCUGAGGCGCGAAAGCUAGGGGAAGCAAACG
RNAcentral lists this ribosomal RNA (208 nucleotides) under uncultured bacterium. Its description in RNAcentral is "partial 16S ribosomal RNA". It matches the Rfam family "Bacterial small subunit ribosomal RNA", at positions 568 to 774 of the family's 1533-position model. The record is from RNAcentral.